Molecule: small RNA, 542 nt
Filed under: Histoplasma capsulatum var. duboisii H88
Lineage: Eukaryota; Fungi; Ascomycota; Eurotiomycetes; Onygenales; Ajellomycetaceae
Description: Histoplasma capsulatum H88 hypothetical RNA
Source: RNAcentral
ACACACUAUCCACUUAACAAUCAUGGCAAUUGCAGACAUGGUUGGCUCUACUUCAACUUCCAUCCCCGCCUCAACGUCAAAAGCGAAGCCAAAACCAGAAAGACUCCCCAUAACCGUCGAGAAACCUACACCCUACACCUUCGACCUGGGCCACCUUCUCGCCCUAGACCCAAACCCACUCAUUCUCUCAAAUGACACAUCCCUAAACGCAGCCCUAACUGCCACAGCCCGCGAUGGCGCCCAAUCCCUCCUCAACCAGCUCUUAACAACCUGCACCAUAACCUCCACGACGCGGGACGGCAUCCUCCUCUCUCUGCCCCCUCGCACCACCCUCCUACCCCGCUUCAAACCGCUCCCGGCUCCCAAGCAGCCGACGAAAUGGGAGCUCUUCGCUCGCAAGAAGGGGAUUGGCAAAUAUAAUAAGAAACUCGGUUCAGGCGGCGGUAGUGCGGAGGCUGAGCGGAGGAAGAAGCUAGUCUACGAUGAAGCUAGCGGCGAGUGGGUACCGAGGUGGGGGUAUAAGGGCAAGAACAAAGGCGGGG